Molecule: small nucleolar RNA, 120 nt
Filed under: Echinops telfairi (small Madagascar hedgehog)
Lineage: Eukaryota; Metazoa; Chordata; Mammalia; Afrosoricida; Tenrecidae
Description: Small nucleolar RNA SNORA61 (ENSETEG00000025893.1)
Source: RNAcentral
ACCCUCCAGCUUCCUUACCGCUGAGAUUUAAACAUUGUUCUAAGUGGCUGAAAAGGAGGAAAAGGAAAAGUGAAGUGGACUUGGUGUCUCUAGCGACAGGGAAGCUCAUUUCAAACAGAU